AUGUCUCAGGAACCUGCCCCACCUCUAACUAGAGAUAAGUCUUCUUGUCCCAUAGUAGAAAGCUAGUGUUAUACACAGAUCAAAAUAGUAAAAUGUUGAACACAUAGACAAUUAAUAACUUCAGUUUUUGUCAAGAGGAAAUGGGUGAGGCGUUAAAAAGUUCCAAAUUUUCACCUGGCCCAAAUGACAAAAUGAAAUGGUGUCUGAGGGUAAACCCAAAAGCAUUAGAUAAUGAAAGUAAAGACUACUUGGUCCUUAUAUUUGCUUUUAGUCAGAUGCCCCAAAAGUGAAGUGUGAGCAAAAUUCAAAUGUUCCCUUCUGAAUGCUAAAAGGGAAGAAACAAAAGCAAUGGAAAGCAAAAGAGCAUAUCAAUUUGUGCAAGGGAAGGGCUGGGAUUUUUAAAAAUUCAUUAGAAGAGACCUUUUGCUUGACGAAGCUAAUAGUCUUUGACCAGAUGACAAGCUUACAUUAUUUUACAAGAUGAGUGUGAUCCAAGAUUCAGUAAACAAAUCAGGACAUACUAAUACAAAUACUUUCAAGAUGCCUGAGGGUCGACUAGGAGAAGACUGAGGUAAUCUCUGGGAAAACACAAGAUUUAUAGACUGCAGUUUUUUAGUGAGAGGACAAGAAUUUAAAGCUCAUAAAUCUGCUUGUACCUGAAUCCCUAGUUUUUAAUGCCAUGUUUGAACAUGAAAUGGAAGAAAGCAUAAAGAAUUGAGUGGAAAUAAAUGAUUUAGACCCUGAUGUUUUUAAAGAAAUGGUGAGAUUCCUUAACACAGUGAAAGGAUUAAACCUUGACAAAAUGGCUGACAACUUGUUGGCAGGUGCAGACAAACAUGCACUGGGAACAGCUGAAGGUCUUGUGUGAGGAAGCUUUGUGUAGUAAUCCCUCAGUAGAAAAUGUUGCUGAUACCCUUGUCCUUGCAGAUUUUCAUGUUGCAAAACAGUUGAAAGCAAAAGCCAUAGACAUUAUUAAUAGGUGCAGUGUACUUCAACAACUUGGGUGUAAAGAUUAGAAAAACUGAAACAGCAACCAAGCAACCAAUGUAAUGGAAACAUCAAGGUGGAAGUCCAUGAUUCAGUCUCACCCUUACUUAGCAGCAGAAGCCUUCUGAGCACUAGCAUCUGCACAGUGUCCACAGUUUGGCAUUCCACACACACGGCUAAAACAGUCCUAA
RNAcentral lists this long non-coding RNA (1178 nucleotides) under Homo sapiens (human). Its description in RNAcentral is "non-protein coding lnc-UGT2B7-1:1". Lineage: Eukaryota; Metazoa; Chordata; Mammalia; Primates; Hominidae. The record is from RNAcentral.